This is a non-coding RNA of Paramuricea clavata, 201 nucleotides long. NCBI's taxonomy places the organism in Eukaryota, Metazoa, Cnidaria, Anthozoa, Malacalcyonacea, Plexauridae. The record is from the annotation of a GenBank genome assembly.
AUUCGGGCUGUCGUGUAGCAAGCAGGCCAGCCCACCAAGUUGUUAUUAGCCUUGUAUUACACGCAUUAUGUUCCGCCCUCUGGGUUUAUAUACUCAUCUUAUCAUAGGUACAUAUACGAUACGUUUUCGCCUUGCUGUUUUUCGUCUCGUGAAAACUCAACAUCACAGGGAAGCUUAGCUAUACACAGGACCCGCAAGCUG